GACGAACGCUGGCGGCGUGCUUAAUACAUGCAAGUCGAACGGAAAGGCCCUGCUUUUGUGGGGUGCUCGAGUGGCGAACGGGUGAGUAACACGUGAGUAACCUGCCCUUGACUUUGGGAUAACUUCAGGAAACUGGGGCUAAUACCGGAUAGGUGCUCCUGCUGCAUGGUGGGGGUUGAAAUGUUUGGGCGGUUGGGGAUGGAUUUGCGGUUGAUCAGCUGGUCGGUGGGGUAUUGGUUUACCAAGGCUCUGCCGGGGCGCCGGCGUGAGAGGGUGACCGGCGACAUUGGGACUGAGGUAGGGCCCAGACUCCUACGGGAGGCAGCAGUGGGGAAUAUUGCACAAUGGGCGGAAGCCUGAUGCAGCAACGCCGCGUGCGGGAUGACGGCCUGCGGGUUGUAAACCGCUUUCGCCUGUGACGAAGCGUGAGUGACGGUAAUGGGUAAAGAAGCACCGGCUAACUACGUG
This 468-nucleotide ribosomal RNA is filed under the name uncultured bacterium. Its description in RNAcentral is "partial 16S ribosomal RNA". It matches the Rfam family "Bacterial small subunit ribosomal RNA", at positions 28 to 507 of the family's 1533-position model. The record is from RNAcentral.